CGCAUCUGUGCAUGCAGCAUAUCAAUAAGCGGAGGAAAAGAAACUAACAAGGAUUCCCCUAGUAACGGCGAGUGAAGCGGGAAGAGCUCAAAUUUGAAAUCUUAAAGGGUUUCCCUUUACGAAUUGUAGUUUAAAGAAGUGUUUUCUGUUGAGGUUUUGGUAAAAGUUCUUUGGAAUAGGACAUCAUAGAGGGUGAGAAUCCCGUAUUUGACCUUUACUUUCAACUUUGUGAUACACUUUCAAAGAGUCGGAUUGUUUGGGAAUGCAGUCCAAAAUGGGUGGUAAAUUUCAUCUAAAGCUAAAUAUUGGCGAGAGACCGAUAGCGAACAAGUACCGUGAGGGAAAGAUGAAAAGAACUUUGAAAAGAGAGUUAAACAGUACGUGAAAUUGUCAAAAGGGAAGCGUUUGACACCAGUGUUGUUUUUCUGAAAAUCAAUUAAAGAACUGUUUAUGCUAAGCUGUCUAGACUUUAUCAGCUAUCUGUUUAGUUUUGAGCUUUUCUUUAAUGCACUUUUCAGUUAACAAGUCAACAUCAAUUUCUUUUGCUGUAAAAAAGCUUGAGGAAGGUGGCUUGAGAUUCGUCUUAAGUGUUUAUAGCCUCUUGCCUAUGCAGUCGGAGAGAUUGAGGUCUGCAGCGUAGAUCCUUCGGGGCUAAAUGCAUUUGUGCUAAGUUAUAGCAUUUUAUAGACAACUUGUUGACUAUGAUUUGUCUUGUAGCUUACUCGCUUAUGUUAUUUUACCUACGCUUAGGAUGUUGAGUCGUAGAGCACGCAG
This 774-nucleotide ribosomal RNA is filed under the name uncultured Neocallimastigales. RNAcentral describes it as "partial large subunit ribosomal RNA". It matches the Rfam family "Eukaryotic large subunit ribosomal RNA", at positions 26 to 628 of the family's 3401-position model. The record is from RNAcentral. Lineage: Eukaryota; Fungi; Neocallimastigomycota; Neocallimastigomycetes; Neocallimastigales.